UACGGAGGGGGCGAGCGUUAUUCGGAAUUAUUGGGCGUAAAGGGCGCGUAGGCGGCCCUGUAAGUCAAAGGUGAAACCCCUCGGCUCAACUGAGGAACUGCCUUUGAAACUGCAGGGCUUGAGGCCGGGAGGGGGUAGCGGAAUUCCCAAUGUAGCGGUGAAAUGCGUAGAUAUUGGGAGGAACACCAGUGGCGAAGGCGGCUACCUGGACCGGUUCUGACGCUGAGGCGCGAAAGCAUGGGGAGCGAACAGG
RNAcentral lists this ribosomal RNA (253 nucleotides) under uncultured bacterium. RNAcentral describes it as "partial 16S ribosomal RNA". It matches the Rfam family "Bacterial small subunit ribosomal RNA", at positions 524 to 776 of the family's 1533-position model. The record is from RNAcentral.